Megalobrama amblycephala (Wuchang bream) is the source of this 1416-nucleotide long non-coding RNA. RefSeq lists it as uncharacterized. NCBI's taxonomy places the organism in Eukaryota, Metazoa, Chordata, Actinopteri, Cypriniformes, Xenocyprididae. The transcript has 2 exons. The record is from RefSeq and is a predicted model, not a curated record.
ACAAUUGUGACUUUAUUUCAUGCAAUUCUGACAUUUUUUCUUGCAAUUGUGACUAUUUCUUGCCUUUUUUUCUCAGAAUUGUAAGAUAUAAAUGCAAUUGUGAGCUAUAAUAUCUAAUUCUGAGAAAAAAAAAACUAAAUUGUGAGAUAAAAAGUCACAAUUACUUUAUUUAUUUAUUAUUUUUAUUCAGUGGCAGAAACAAGCUUCUGUAGAACACUAAAAUCUUGCCAGCGAAUGCAAAAUGUCUCAGAGGAAUGUUUUAUGAGCAAACUCUAAAUGUCUUUGGAAACAGAAAUGUUUUGCAGAAGAAGCUUUGCAAGCAAAUGCAACAUUUCUCAAGGGAACACCAACAUUUUGCAAAUAAAUGCAAAGUUUCUCAGGAAUGCAAAAAAAAAGGAUUGAAGUAUAGUUUUUCCUUCUGUCUCAUAUAUUUUCCCACCCCCAUGUUCUUCUGGAACAUUUUUUUUUCUCAGUGUCUUAAGAGGUUUGGUGAGAUAACAGCUAACAGGAGUAUUGCUCUUAAUGUACAAAUGUUUCUACAUAAGAGAUAAGAGAGCCGUUCAAACAUCCCGACAGCCCAGACAGGGAGUCAUAGUGAUGGUAAAUUGUGUAACAGCCGUGCAGAUCAUUUCCACAGACUGUACUGAUAAACUCUCUCUCUUUUAGAGAUCAGUCAGUCAUCUUACGCUCCACUGGCUAACUUCAGCUGCGGUGUUCUGGCCGGCGUCCUGGCCUCCGUCGUGACCCAGCCGGCAGAUGUGGUGAAAACUCACGUUCAAGUGAGUCCAGAUGUCUUCAGGAGGACAUCAGAUGUGGUGCGAUACAUUUACAAGGAUCACGGGUUGGUGGGUUUUUUCCGUGGCGCAGUUCCUCGCUCUCUGAGGAGAACCAUGAUGGCGGCGAUGGCGUGGACGGUGUACGAGCAGCUGAUGGCUCAGAUGGGCCUCAAAUCCGGAGAGCGAUCAAACACACAUCACAUCACACACUGAACGAGAUCUUCACAGUGGCUCACGGGCCCGUCUGAUGUUUUAGUGUUUGACUCUGAGAUCCUCGACGGUGAGGAUCAUGUGGGUCUGGAAACACGGCGAUAGAAAAUGAUCUGUUUGUCUGAUUGACUGUGAUCAUCAUGGUUUGGCAAACUGCCUUGAUAUCAAUGGAGAACUGAAGUGAGAAAUAUCUUGAACACAGAGAUUGAGCUUUGAAACGCACUUUAACAUGUCAGCUUGUCUUGUCUGUUUUUAUGCUGCUUAUGCUCUGCUCUUAUAACGUUUGUAUACAGUUCAUGAGCUGCUUUAGGACAGUCAUAAUCUGGUGACUUUUAUAGUAUUAUGUUGCAGGUUAUGAUUGACAGGUUAACUUAAUAUGUUGUUUAUCGAGUCAAAUUAUUAUUAUUAUUAAAGUCAGCAUGAAAUGGGA